UGACAAUUCUCAUUCAUGAAAUUUUACAAUGCUGUGAUAUAAUAAUAAAAGUUUUUCUUAAUUGCAUUUUACUGCUAAAAGACAUUUGUGCAUUUUGUGAGCUUUUAGAAGGCAGCAUUCUGCUUCUUUAUUGAUACUGUAAAUUGACACAUUAUAUUUUCUCAGUACAUUACAAGUAUUUCCCAAAAUAAUAAGAUAAUAGACUAGGUAAUUAUUAUCCAGCACGCUGAGAUGUAUAUGUGUAACUAUACCCACAACCAUAGGCAUUUUAAGCAAGAAAGAAUGAAUUAAAAAUGCUACACUAUUAUCUUUUUUAGUUUAUAGAGAUUGAAAACUACUUCAAUUAACAGAUUAAAUUUGUUAAAGAAAUUUUGUAUGUUUUGCAGUAUACAGUUACAUUGUUACCUGCUUCUAUUCAAGCUAAAAUAUUAAAAAUAUCCCAUAAUAAUAUGUAAAAUAUAAAUAUUUCUAUGUAUUUUUAACUUUUCUUUUUCCUGUCAAAUUUUAUACAUUUUCUUAAAACUCAUUUUAAAUCAGAAAUAUUACAGCUCAAGUAAAAUCAUCACAUGCACAAUUCCUGAGCCAAGGACAAUUCUCACAUACAUUCUCUGAAUCUAAUUUUGAUCUUUUUGAGAUGCUUGUAGCAUAUGUACUUUUUCUUAAACACACUUACAAGUUCUUGUAUCAGUAUAAUUUUGUAAAUAUCCUUGCAUUUUUAUUAAAUUAAUGAAAAAUGUCUACCUAAAUAUUUCUAGGACUAUAAACACUCAGAAGCAUUGAUUUAUUGAAGUCACAUUUUUCCUCACAUAUUUCAUAAAGCAAUUUUGAAACUAGAAACUAGAACAAUGAAUUUGUAAGCUCAGGCUUAAUUUGUGCUUCAAUGUAGAGAAAAAAUUUUGACCAAAGGGAAGCAGUGAAGCUCUUCCAUAUCACAAGGAAAAUAACCAACAAAAUGUAUCUCUUUUUAAUUUGGUUCCAUGGUACAGCAAAAAUGCAAGUUUUUUUCCCAACUUCUUUUGUUCCACUUUUAUAACAAUUAUGGUAAAUCUAAUAGGAAAAAAGGCUCCCUCCCCAUAUAAGCUGAAAAAGCCUGAAAGUCUUAUUAACUGGAAGCAUUUAUGGACACUUAGGUAAUGUUUCAGAACUUAUCUUUCACUAGGCUAACCAAUGUUUUUUUGCUUAAUGAAUAUAUUUGUCCAGAAGUGACGCCAGUUGUGCAAUCUGGAUUUCCUAGACAAUAUGUUAGGUGAUAACAGAACUUUCUCUUUCUUCUAGCAGGAGGAAGUUGCAAUUGAACUCAUCUUCCCAGAGCCCAGAGUGGUUUUCUCGCUCCCGUAAGAGGUAGCUGCUACUUAUCAAAGGUUCCAGCUCUCUAGAUGCUACAAACACGAAGUUAUUUCAAUAAUACAUAUCUAAACCAGACUGCAAGGCUAACAUCAAAAAAGGUAUUUCCUGGAUUUUCUUUUAUGAUUUUUAUAUUGUGAGAUCUUAAUGUCUUUAAUCCAUCUUGAGUCAACUUUUGUGUGUUGUGAUUGGUAGGGGUCCAAACUCAUUCUUCUGCAUAUGGAUAGCCAGUUAUCCCAGUACCAUAUGUUGAAUAAGGAAUCUUCUCAUUGCUUAUUUUUCUUAGCUUUGUUGAAAAUCAGAUGAUUGUAGGUGUGUGGCUUUAUUUCUGGGUGUCUUUAUUCUGUUCCGUUGGUGUAUGUGUCUGUUUUUCUACCAGUAGCAUGAUAUUUUGGUUAUUGUAGCCUUGUAGCACAGUCCCAAGUUGGGGAAUGUGAUGCCUUCAGCUUUGUUUUUUUUGCUUAGGAUUG
Molecule: long non-coding RNA, 1814 nt
Filed under: Homo sapiens (human)
Lineage: Eukaryota; Metazoa; Chordata; Mammalia; Primates; Hominidae
Description: HSALNT0045298
Source: RNAcentral